AUUAAACUCCGGAAGGCAAACCUCUAAAGGGUUCUUCUUUAUUUGAUGUUAGGGUUUGUGGGAUUAUACCAGAUUUUGACUUUCUUUUUCAAAAGUUUAAACAAGGUUCUUCUUUAUAUGAUGUUAGGUUUUGUGGGUGUUUCUUGAAUAUUAGAUAGAAAUAUAUGAGAAGGUUCGGAUUCCAUUUUGAUCUCGCCGUCAUCAAUCACGCAAUGAUUCCAGGUGAGCUAUGUUCGAGUUCUUAUUAACAAACACACUAACUAAAUCAAGUACAUCGAUGUUGAUGUCAACGAUUGUUCAAUCAAUGGAGAUGAAGGUAACUAAAAUGAUGAGCCAAACAAGUUGGACGAAAAGCUUAAGACAAUUGAAUCUCUUUUGGAAAGAAAGAUGUGAAUGGUGGUGUUGAUGAGAGGCAACCAAAGGAACCAAAAUGUGUAGAAACAAAUGAGUCUAACUAUGAAGAAGUCAUAAAAAGCAAGUCUGUUGAUCAAUUAAUCGAGGCUGAACUUAACGAGUUGAAAUGCAAAACCAAGUGAUCCAAACAACAAGCAUAAGGUAUUAGUUCAUGUUAUCAUCUUAAGUAGCUUAUGUGAGAGGGAACCACCUUCAAGAAGUCCAAAACCGGGAGGUGACAGGAAAUGUGUUUUUUUAUCACACUGAUAAUCAACGCUACAUACAACGAGCAUUGCUUAUGGAUUUGGAACCCAGAGUUUAUUUUAUGCCAUUCAAUUGCGGAGGAACUAGCUCAUGUAGUAUUUCAAGGAUCAUAUCUUUCAUUUUAUUCAUUUGAAAGUUACAGUUUAUUUCGGUCUGAUUUUUAUCCCAACAUCAUUCAUUAUAUGUAUAGUCUGCUGUGAUUUUUCAAACGGGACAUGGAAUGGCGGGAGACCUUUAAGUUUGUGUAUUAUAUAUCACAUUGUCGUCGUCGCCGCUAAGUCGCUAACUUACGUAUAAGUAAUUCGCGAGGGGGAUUGUUCAGUUUGGAGAGGUUUAUGAGAGAACGGAGAAUAGGGCGUAUGAGGAAUUGGCGAGGGCGGUUGUUAUGUUUGGAGAGGUUUAUGAGAGGAUGAAGCAAGAGAAGAGGAGAUGGUGAGGUUGAAGAAGCAGAGGAUGGAAUUUACUAAAGAGCUUGAGUUUCAUAGGUUGAACAUGUUUAUGGAAACUCAGGUUGCGCUUGAAAAAAAAAUGAAAAAUAAGAACAAGAGAUCAUCUGCUACAGGUUCCUUGGGUCCAGGGACUCUAUAUUUGAAUGAGUGGAGCUGUUCAGUGGUUGUUUUUGUGGAUUGUUCGUAACCUUGAUGGUAUUGAUGGUGGCGACAGAGGUUGUAAAUAGGGUUCCGGUCACCCUUAGGCAAAAUCGCCCACCAUAGGGGGCAAUUGCGGUGAGUAUGAUGUUCCCAUUAGGAUACGCAUAUGCAAGUUGUUGUUGCCUAUGGGUUUCAGGUGAAAAAAAGCAGGUCAAUUUAACACAAGAACUUGUAGCAUUAUCUGGUGCACAUACUCUUGGAAGCAAAGGCUUUGGAAAUCCAGUUAUUUUUAAUAAUGCAUAUUAUAAAGUACAGUUGGAGAAGCCAUGUCUAUCUUCAGGUUUGUCACAUGCUUUUGGCUUAAAAACAAUGUUAACAUUUCUUAAAGCCAAAACUUAUUGUAGUGCUUAUAUUUUUUUUAUAUUUUUAUGUAUACAACUGGAAUGACUUGUGGAUUGUAAGUAGGGUUCUGGUCAACCUUUGCCAAAAUCACCCACCAUAGGAAGUGCUCCCCUGACUGUAGUUCAGCUGCUACUAUGGGUAAAUAUGAUAAUGGGUACACUGGGAGCACUUGCAUUUGCCACUGAACCUUCUACCAAUGAAUUGAUGGAACGGCAAUUGGUCCGAAGAAAUGGAAAAAAAAAAAAGAAAACAGCCGGUGAUGGGUCAAAAGAGAGUAAUGUUCUCUUUGGCUUUACAAAUAAAAGUACGAUGCCGAGAACAGUCUCUUUUGUAACCUUGAACAAGGUUGGUGGAUUUCUACAAUCUAUGGAUCUUGCACACUUUAUGCUUUUGGAAAGAUGUUGGUCAUUGGAAACGAGCCAUUAUUCAAGGUUUAAUGACAUAUUGAAUAGGAUCUACCUUUUUUAACUUUUGUCGGUCUUUGUUUCCCCCAUGACAUUCGAUUUUCACCUAAAUAAAUGUAUAAACAAAUAUUGUGUGUAUAUAUAUUUAUAAUUUUAGAGCUUAGAUCAGGUUGCUCAACUUCCAAGUCUAUAAUGUAACUGGUUAUGACUUGUGCAACGUAUUUUUUUACACACU
This 2288-nucleotide long non-coding RNA is filed under the name Helianthus annuus (common sunflower). Lineage: Eukaryota; Viridiplantae; Streptophyta; Magnoliopsida; Asterales; Asteraceae. The record is from RNAcentral.